RNAcentral lists this unclassified non-coding RNA (2515 nucleotides) under Leishmania donovani. RNAcentral describes it as "gene:LdHU3.16.0710(CDS-product:dihydroorotase_put ative)". The record is from RNAcentral. Lineage: Eukaryota; Euglenozoa; Kinetoplastea; Trypanosomatida; Trypanosomatidae.
CAGCCCACCGAGGUCUUUAUACGCCACACUCGACUUCUCCCCUUAGUCGCCCCCUCCUUCCCCUUCUUCUCUCGUUUCCAUUCCUGACGAACGAACAGAGAGUGGGAGAUGUCCUCGGCCCCCAUGUCGGCGACGGCGGUCGUGCAGCUGCCACCUCUUAUCGACUGCCACGUGCACUUCCGCGAGCCUGGCCUCGAGCACAAGGCAGACAUCGCCAGUGAAAGCACCGCGGCGUACUACGGCGGCAUCACUGUUGCCUGCGACAUGCCCAACACGAGCCCGCCGACGCAGAGCAUCGCUGCACUGGCGGACAAGGUGGCGCGCUCCAAGGCCACCGCCCACGCCGACUGCCAGCUCUUUUUCUUCUUUGGCGCGACGGCCGAGGCGCACCUGCAGGAACUCCAGGAGCUCUGGACAAACCCGGCGCACGCGGAGCUCAAGACUCAUUGCUGCGGACUGAAGCUGUACCUCGACAACUCCACCGGCAACAUGAAGUCGAGCCGCUCGGUCGUGGAGAAGAGCUUCGAGAUGUGUGGGCGUCUUCAGAUCGUGCUCGUCGCCCACUGUGAGCAGUCGGAGAUCAACGACGCCGCUGCCGCUCAGCACCCCUAUGACGGCCCUGCUUCGCACUCGCUGCGGCGCCCCGCAGAUUCGGAGGCGGCUUCGGUGCAGAGUGCCAUCGACCUGGCACGCCAGUGCCGCACGCCGCUUCAUCUCGCCCACGUCUCGACGGCGCAGAGCCUCGACUUGGUCCGCGAGGCCCGCGCGGCCGACCCGACGCUGCAGCUCACCUGCGAGGUGACCCCACAUCACCUGUUUCUCACGACCUCCGACUACUCGUGCUGUGGCGCGCGUGUGAAGGUGAACCCGCCGGUCCGACCCCCGCCGCACCAUGAGGCGCUCUGGGCCGGGCUCUUGGACGGCACCGUAGACUGCGUCGGCACUGACCACGCGCCGCACACGAUCGCCGAGAAGGAUCAUUGCGACGGCGCCGCCCAGCCGCCAAGUGGAAUGCCGGCCAUCGAAGUUGUGGUUCCACUGCUGCUGACCGUGGUGGCGGGCCACUGGCCGCACCCGACGGCGGCGAAGCCGUCUACGCUCGCUGCGGCGGAGCAGCAGGGGUGCACGUUGACGCUGGACGACAUUGUGCGCGUGCUGCACACGAAUCCGAAUCGCAUCUUUAAUCUGCGACAGCCCGACGCGCCGCACCGCUCCUUCGACCUCGCGUGCGAGUGGACUGUCCGCGGCGAGGAGCUGCAUUCCAAGUGCCGAUGGUCCCCGUACGAGGGUUGGCGCCUGCGCGGGCGCGCCCUGGCAAAGGAGUGAGAUGGUGAUGCUGCUUUCAGGAACCUUCACCCCCUUCCGGCACCGCUCCCAAUUUCGGGACUAAGACGUUGUCGGACAUGCGAAGGGUAAGAGGAGGUGGGUGAUGGGUGUUGAAGUGGCCGGUGAGGGAGGGGGUGCACGACCCUCCCCUCCACAGGUGCCACCCGUCAGCACCGCCGGCACAAGACAUAUAACUAAGGCGCAUGCCGACUGAAGAGGCACACAAGCAGAGGCAGCGUGCGCUUCGCUCAAAGAGGGUGGCGAAGGGGCCCCGCCCAUCAACAGAUGAAGACAUCACACGCCAAGCGGCAACCGCGAAAGGCGCGGUGCGACGACAGCAGAGGGGCGGCAACAUACACACGCACGAAGAGAAACGUGCUGUGCCGCUGGUAUUCGACAAGGUGCACGCGUGAGCGUUGCGUGGAAGUUUUAUCUUUCAAGGUGAGCUCGUCUGUCUGCCGUGCACCAGGCGAGGCCAAACACCACACCCUACACCGCCACCUCUGACACACACACACACACGCACCUCCGGCUCCUCCUGCCACGGGCGCCCGUCGUCUGGUGCGAAGCAGCCGUAGACGCACACGGUACAGCAGUGCGCCGACUCGGUCAUCGGGGAGCACGGCCCCCGCCCCAAGCUCUACCCACCAACAGCCGCUUCGCAUGCCGCCGCGACGCCACGCAGCCCAGGACCUGACCGCCGACAUCUGUAGCGAUACGUCGCUCUGACCUCGCCACGUCGCAGGCGCCUGAGCUUGUCACCGCCGGAGGUGGUGUGGCGUUCGGCAGGGACGGGGGAGAUCCCCUGGCGUCUUGGCACACGGAGCGGGGCUGGGGUGGGGGGGGUGCGCUACUCACAUGAAGCAUCAAAAGAAGAUCACACACACACACACGCUUUCAUCGUGCACGACUGCUGUCUUGAUGAUGACCGCCGCCAGACACACGUAUAGGCACGCCGUGGCGCAAAGCCUCCCUUUUACGUGCGCGCCAUGCCCCCCCCCUCCCAACACCACCCGCUCUGCCGCUGCCCUCCUGCGCCUCUUCAUGGUGUACCUCAACACUCUGCGGCGCCUCUGUGAUCGACAUCCGGCUUGCCCCUUUCCUGCCUCCCCCUCCUCGCUCCGUCCAUCGCGCGCUCUCACACGCAUGCACGCCUACUCUUCCCUCUUCGUCGCCUGCGCAUCUGCAG